Molecule: long non-coding RNA, 328 nt
Organism: Gigantopelta aegis
Lineage: Eukaryota; Metazoa; Mollusca; Gastropoda; Neomphalida; Peltospiridae
Exons: 3
Source: RefSeq, a predicted model, not a curated record
AAUGUGGUCUCGUAUUGUGAUUUCUUUGGUAAUUAAUCAUAUGAAUUAUAGUGUAAACGUUUUAACGUAGGUACAGACUCUGAAUUAAAUGCAGUUCUUGGUGUGUGAUGGUUAACGAGCAGACAUGAGGAAGAUUCGUUUGUCGGAUGCAGAUUAUGGCUUGUUUGAUGAGGAACUUUCCCCAUCGGAGUUCAUUUUCUUCAACAAACACAAGGAGACAUUUUGUUGCAUGGUCAAGGAUCAGGGGAAGGCAUUCUGGACUCGGUUCACAAUUGUGUUUCGCAGCUACACAGUUCGCCAUGGAAUUAUCCGAGAUAUGCCUUUUCAU